AUCCAGCUGAAGAGUCCCAAAUAGGACGAGGUGGCGCGCGUCCUGAAU
Molecule: non-coding RNA, 48 nt
Organism: Schistosoma mansoni
Lineage: Eukaryota; Metazoa; Platyhelminthes; Trematoda; Strigeidida; Schistosomatidae
Source: Rfam